RNAcentral lists this ribosomal RNA (253 nucleotides) under uncultured bacterium. RNAcentral describes it as "partial 16S ribosomal RNA". It matches the Rfam family "Bacterial small subunit ribosomal RNA", at positions 524 to 776 of the family's 1533-position model. The record is from RNAcentral.
UACGUAGGGUGCAAGCGUUAAUCGGAAUUACUGGGCGUAAAGCGUGCGCAGGCGGUUGUGUAAGACAGAUGUGAAAUCCCCGGGCUCAACCUGGGAACUGCAUUUGUGACUGCACAGCUGGAGUGCGGCAGAGGGGGAUGGAAUUCCGCGUGUAGCAGUGAAAUGCGUAGAUAUGCGGAGGAACACCGAUGGCGAAGGCAAUCCCCUGGGCCUGCACUGACACUCAUGCACGAAAGCGUGGGGAGCAAACAGG